RNAcentral lists this ribosomal RNA (460 nucleotides) under uncultured bacterium. Its description in RNAcentral is "partial 16S ribosomal RNA". It matches the Rfam family "Bacterial small subunit ribosomal RNA", at positions 338 to 795 of the family's 1533-position model. The record is from RNAcentral.
CCUACGGGAGGCAGCAGUGAGGAAUAUUGGUCAAUGGACGAGAGUCUGAACCAGCCAAGUAGCGUGAAGGAUGACUGCCCUAUGGGUUGUAAACUUCUUUUAUAUGGGAAUAAAACGUUCCACGUGUGGGAUUUUGUAUGUACCAUAUGAAUAAGGAUCGGCUAACUCCGUGCCAGCAGCCGCGGUAAUACGGAGGAUCCGAGCGUUAUCCGGAUUUAUUGGGUUUAAAGGGAGCGUAGGUGGAUUGUUAAGUCAGUUGUGAAAGUCUGCGGCUCAACCGUAAAAUUGCAGUUGAAACUGGCAGUCUUGAGUACAGUAGAGGUGGGCGGAAUUCGUGGUGUAGCGGUGAAAUGCUUAGAUAUCACGAAGAACUCUGAUUGCGAAGGCAGUUCACUGGACUGCAACUGACACUGAGGCUCGAAAGUGUGGGUAUCAAACAGGAUUAGAUACCCGAGUAGUC